This 588-nucleotide long non-coding RNA is filed under the name Mytilus galloprovincialis (Mediterranean mussel). The record is from RNAcentral. Lineage: Eukaryota; Metazoa; Mollusca; Bivalvia; Mytilida; Mytilidae.
UACUUAUCCUCACGAUUCUAAUUAGGUCUUUCCACUUUUCGUGGAAAGACCUUUUGUUUUUCUUCUGAUUAUUUUUUUUUUUUUUUUUUUUCUUCUGCCGUCUGAGAUGCUUUUUUGUCUUACAACAUAUCGAAUGGAUUUUUUGGCCAAUGAUGUUGUACAGUAAUGGGGGUUUCAAAACUCACCCUGUGUGACCGAACAUUUAUUCUUAUAGGAGUUACCUCCCCGCAUCCCCUUUUUCUUGUUAUCGCUAUAUCUCUAAAACCGUAAAAGAUUUUAGCAAACUGUUUUCACCAAAUUGUUCGUCUACUCUUGAGAAUGAUUUGGUUUAUUUUGACUUCAGUAAUCGGAAGACAUCUUAUGGGAGUUAUUUCCCUUUGAAAAUUUAAGAUAGGCGAUUUGUUGGAUCAAUUCAUACGUUAUAAGUCGUAGAGGCCUACAGUCUUUUGAUAUGAAGUCCUUGGUCCAUUUGAAAGAAAAUUGAGGUCAAGGUCAAAGGUCAAGGUCAUGUUCUAAAUUUUGAAUUUUGCUUGUUAUCGUUAUACCACAGAAAUUGUGACAGUAAAUGAUAUGAUGUGUUUGCCAAAU